This 441-nucleotide ribosomal RNA is filed under the name Cerberilla sp. 3 LC-2013. Its description in RNAcentral is "partial 16S ribosomal RNA". It matches the Rfam family "Archaeal large subunit ribosomal RNA", at positions 1904 to 2666 of the family's 2987-position model. Lineage: Eukaryota; Metazoa; Mollusca; Gastropoda; Nudibranchia; Aeolidiidae. The record is from RNAcentral.
AACAUAGCCACUAGGUUUCAUUAUGUGGUUUAACCUGCCCAAUGUUAUAAUGAAUGGCCGCGGUACCCUGACCGUGCUAAGGUAGCGUAAUCAGUUGACUUUUAAAUGAGGUCAGGAAUGAAUGGGAGAACCGGGUUUAGCUGUCUCUAGGCCACUGUUUUGAAUUUACUAUCUAAGUGAAAAAGCUUAGGGUUAGAAGAGGGACGAGAAGACCCUUAGAAUUUUUUUUAAAAAGCAUGAGUUUGUUUUAUGAUUUUAUUGGGGCGAUAUAGAAAUAUUCAAAACUUUCUUUAAUGUAUGAGCCGAUUAUAUUAUGUAAGAACAAAUUACCUGAGGGAUAACAGCAUAAUUCUACAAGUGAGUUUGUGACCUCGAUGUUGGACUAGGAAACUAAUAGGCUAGCCGUUUAUUAUGUUAGGUUCUGUUCGAACUUAUAUUCCU